Nothoprocta perdicaria is the source of this 263-nucleotide long non-coding RNA. RefSeq lists it as uncharacterized. The transcript has 2 exons. The record is from RefSeq and is a predicted model, not a curated record. Lineage: Eukaryota; Metazoa; Chordata; Aves; Tinamiformes; Tinamidae.
AGACACUCAUUUCUGCUGAAGGGCUGUCYUUGGACGCGGUAAUCAGUGACAUCUGGGCAGGGUUUCUCUUCCUUCCAUGUGAUUUAGAGUCAACUCCACACCUUUGGAGAACACCUUAGCCUUUCUGCUGUCCAUAGAGGACAGUGACACGAUUUACACCAGAUCCAGCAUUUUCUCGGGGACUCCAAGGACACGCUGUCCUGCUGUUGUGUCUCACCCCAAAUGCACCUCAGCUGUGUCCAUUUCCUCCAGUUACAGAUUUG